Octopus bimaculoides (California two-spot octopus) is the source of this 119-nucleotide non-coding RNA. The record is from Rfam. Lineage: Eukaryota; Metazoa; Mollusca; Cephalopoda; Octopoda; Octopodidae.
GCUUACGGCCAUAUCACGUUGAAAGCACCGGUUCUCGUCCAAUCACCGAAGUUAAACAACAUCAAGCCUAAUGAGUACUUAGAUGGGUGACCACUUGGGAAACCUAGGUGCUGUAAGCA